AUAGUUCUUUUGUAUGAGCUGAGGAUUAAAGUUGAAGCAAAUAAAUUUGGGCUUAAACUAGGAUUAGAUACCCUACUAUACUUAAAUAAACACUAUGGCCUGGGUAUUAAAAGGUAUGUUCUUUAAAUUUAAAGAAUUUGGCGGUAACUUAGUCUUGUCAGGGGAAUCUGUUUUUUAAUCGAUAGACCACGAAAAAUCUUACUUAGGCUUAAAGCUUGCAUACCGUCAUUAUUAGAUAAUCUUAAAAGGGUAAAUUAUUACACAGGUUGUUUCAGCUAAAUUAGAUCAAGGUGCAGCCGAUGUUUAAGUUAAGGUGGAUUACAAUAAAUUUUAUUUAUGACGGAAGGGGGAGGGGAAGCCGGCCCGGAAGGAGGAUUUGAUUGUAUUGCAAUUUUAAUAAGGUUGGAAGAUAUGAGCUCUAAGUUAUGUACAUAUUGCCCGUCGCUUUCAUUAACAGAU
Molecule: ribosomal RNA, 459 nt
Filed under: unidentified
Description: Ethusina sp. partial 12S ribosomal RNA
Rfam family: Microsporidia small subunit ribosomal RNA (bases 102-459)
Source: RNAcentral